Long non-coding RNA from Pantherophis guttatus, 513 nucleotides. RefSeq lists it as uncharacterized. The record is from RefSeq and is a predicted model, not a curated record. NCBI's taxonomy places the organism in Eukaryota, Metazoa, Chordata, Lepidosauria, Squamata, Colubridae.
UCAUUACUGCAGAGGGGUUUUUUUUUCUCUCUCUCUUCUCCUCCUCCUCCUCCUCCUCCUCCUUGGUAAAUAAAUCUCCUUCUUGAAACUCCGCCAUUAGACAUCAUCCAUCUCCAGAUGAGAAGCAAAAGGUCGGGCGCUGAGCCCAGCAACAAUACAUAAAUUAAUUAAAGUUUCCAAGAAGGGAGGUGAAAAAACAGGACGCCAAAAACAAAGCUUAGCUGGAAUUGCCACCGGAGGAAUGUCAGCCGAUAAGACCAGGGAUGCUGUGAGGCCCCAGGUGGGCCGGGAAGUUCAACCAGCUCAGACAGUACCGAACAGAGAUUAUGGAUAAAUGCUCACUUAAAAUGACAAGAGACUGAAAAUAGAAAUAGAAAGAUUUUUCAGCGAUGUGUGGAAACCUGGAAGAAGACGAGGACCGGAGGGAAAUUAAAAUAAACCCAAGACUUUGGAAAUGAUGUUUUGACAUUCUACACAGUGUGAGGAAUGAAAAUAAAUCUUAAAUUGUAGAAA